CUAAAAAAAUUUUUUUUGGCCUACUUAACAAAAUACAAGCUCCCUUAAUCCAUGGGGGAAAAUGCACAAAAUAAAGGAUAAUUUUUUUUCUGCCUAGCGCUGACUAAUUAAUGUGUUGCAUGGUUUGAUGAAAUCUUUCUAAGAGUGCCAUUGCUCAUUAUAUUCAAUUCUGUUUCACACCAACAGCAAGGACUGUCUUUCUGAAGAUCCUCAUGUACUUAAAUGACUUUUCCCAAGAGAUUUGAAGGUACUCUAUAAUCUGUGCGCCCUCACGAAGAACUUAUUGAAGACUGACUAGCACUUUUCUUUGCUAUUGAAGAGUAAACAUUAUAAACAGAUCAGUGUGACACAGCUUUCAUUUUAGUCCUUCUGCCCAGUGUUCUGGUACUGGCCUCAGCCAAGAAUGUGCUAUCAGAGGUGUCCUGCCACGAAGGGAUAUGGAGGAACUGGCUUCAAGACAAUUACUGUGCCAUAUGAAGAGCACAUCCUUAGAGAACACUGUUAUAAAUAAAGAUGCUCUUGUGGUUGAGUGUUUUGGGUUAUACCUCUCCUUUACUCACAUUUAACAUUUAAU
This is a long non-coding RNA of Fukomys damarensis (Damara mole-rat), 574 nucleotides long. RefSeq lists it as uncharacterized. Lineage: Eukaryota; Metazoa; Chordata; Mammalia; Rodentia; Bathyergidae. The record is from RefSeq and is a predicted model, not a curated record. The transcript has 3 exons.